AGUGAACGCUGGCGGUAGGCCUAACGCAUGCAAGUCGAACGGCAGCACAGUAAGAGCUUGCUCUUACGGGUGGCGAGUGGCGGACGGGUGAGGAAUACAUCGGAAUCUACUUUUUCGUGGGGGAUAACGUAGGGAAACUUACGCUAAUACCGCAUACGACCUACGGGUGAAAGCAGGGGAUCUUCGGACCUUGCGCGAUUGAAUGAGCCGAUGUCGGAUUAGCUAGUUGGCGGGGUAAAGGCCCACCAAGGCGACGAUCCGUAGCUGGUCUGAGAGGAUGAUCAGCCACACUGGAACUGAGACACGGUCCAGACUCCUACGGGAGGCAGCAGUGGGGAAUAUUGGACAAUGGGCGAAAGCCUGAUCCAGCCAUACCGCGUGGGUGAAGAAGGCCUUCGGGUUGUAAAGCCCUUUUGUUGGGAAAGAAAAGCAGCAGGUUAAUACCCCGCUGUUCUGACGGUACCCAAAGAAUAAGCACCGGCUAACUUCGUG
Molecule: ribosomal RNA, 492 nt
Filed under: uncultured bacterium
Lineage: Bacteria
Description: partial 16S ribosomal RNA
Rfam family: Bacterial small subunit ribosomal RNA
Source: RNAcentral